Molecule: non-coding RNA, 30 nt
Filed under: Rattus norvegicus (Norway rat)
Lineage: Eukaryota; Metazoa; Chordata; Mammalia; Rodentia; Muridae
Source: RNAcentral
UGGCCUCCCAAGUAGAAUUACUAAAUUAAC